GCGGACCGACGGGAGCUUGCUCCCUUAGGUCAGCGGCGGACGGGUGAGUAACACGUGGGUAACCUGCCUGUAAGACUGGGAUAACUCCGGGAAACCGGGGCUAAUACCGGAUGCUUGAUUGAACCGCAUGGUUCAAUCAUAAAAGGUGGCUUUYAGCUACCACUURCAGAUGGACCCGCGGCGCAUUAGCUAGUUGGUGAGGUAACGGCUCACCAAGGCGACGAUGCGUAGCCGACCUGAGAGGGUGAUCGGCCACACUGGGACUGAGACACGGCCCAGACUCCUACGGGAGGCAGCAGUAGGGAAUCUUCCGCAAUGGACGAAAGUCUGACGGAGCAACGCCGCGUGAGUGAUGAAGGUUUUCGGAUCGUAAAACUCUGUUGUUAGGGAAGAACAAGUACCGUUCGAAUAGGGCGGYACCUUGACGGUACCUAACCAGAAAGCCACGGCUAACUACGUGCCAGCAGCCGCGGUAAUACGUAGGUGGCAAGCGUUGUCCGGAAUUAUUGGGCGUAAAGCGCGCGCAGGCGGUUUCUUAAGUCUGAUGUGAAAGCCCCCGGCUCAACCGGGGAGGGUCAUUGGAAACUGGGGAACUUGAGUGCAGAAGAGGAGAGUGGAAUUCCACGUGUAGCGGUGAAAUGCGUAGAGAUGUGGAGGAACACCAGUGGCGAAGGCGACUCUCUGGUCUGUAACUGACGCUGAGGCGCGAAAGCGUGGGGAGCGAACAGGAUUAGAUACCCUGGUAGUCCACGCCGUAAACGAUGAGUGCUAAGUGUUAGAGGGUUUCCGCCCUUUAGUGCUGCAGCAAACGCAUUAAGCACUCCGCCUGGGGAGUACGGUCGCAAGACUGAAACUCAAAGGAAUUGACGGGGGCCCGCACAAGCGGUGGAGCAUGUGGUUUAAUUCGAA
Molecule: ribosomal RNA, 909 nt
Filed under: Bacillus sp. (in: firmicutes)
Lineage: Bacteria; Bacillati; Bacillota; Bacilli; Caryophanales; Bacillaceae
Description: bacterial SSU rRNA
Source: RNAcentral